UACGAAGGGAGCUAGCGUUGUUCGGAAUCACUGGGCGUAAAGCGCACGUAGGCGGCGCGUUAAGUCAGGGGUGAAAUCCUGGAGCUCAACUCCAGAACUGCCUUUGAUACUGGCGUGCUCGAGUGUGGGAGAGGUUGGUGGAACUCCGAGUGUAGAGGUGAAAUUCGUAGAUAUUCGGAAGAACACCAGUGGCGAAGGCGGCCAACUGGCCCAUUACUGACGCUGAGACGAGAAAGCGUGGGGAGCAAACAGG
RNAcentral lists this ribosomal RNA (253 nucleotides) under uncultured bacterium. RNAcentral's name for it is "partial 16S ribosomal RNA". It matches the Rfam family "Bacterial small subunit ribosomal RNA", at positions 524 to 776 of the family's 1533-position model. The record is from RNAcentral.